UAUCGUACUANAGAGGUGUGAGGGUUGUCGCUGACCUUUCUAAAAGGUCGUGCACGCCCGAGUGCUCUCAAUCCAUUUCACCCUUUGUGCAUCACCGCGCGGGGUCGCUCCCUCUUGGCUCGCUUCGAGAGGGGGAGGCUCGCGUUUUUCACACAUAAACACCCUUAUAGUUUAGAAUGUCAUUCAUUUGCGAUCACACGCAAUCAAUACAACUUUCAACAACGGAUCUCUUGGCUCUCGCAUCGAUGAAGAACGCAGCGAAAUGCGAUACGUAAUGUGAAUUGCAGAAUUCAGUGAAUCAUCGAAUCUUUGAACGCAUCUUGCGCCCCUUGGUAUUCCGAGGGGCACACCCGUUUGAGUGUCGUGAAAUUCUCAAACCUUCUUGGUUUCUCGAUCAAGAUGGCUUUGGACUUUGGAGGCAUUUUGCUGGCUUUGCGAAAAGCCAGCUCCUCUCAAAUACAUUAGUGGGGUCCCCUUUGCCGAUCCCCAGGCGUGAUAAGAUGUUUCUACGUCUUGGGAUUUGCUCUGUUCCUUGGGAACCCGCUUCUAACCGUCUCAUGGGAGACACCGUUCGAGUUUGCUCGACGCACGAACCUUGACCUCAAAUCGGGUGAGACUACCCGCUGAACUUAAGCAUAUCAAUAA
RNAcentral lists this ribosomal RNA (645 nucleotides) under uncultured fungus. RNAcentral describes it as "eukaryotic LSU rRNA". The stretch from base 211 to 364 matches the Rfam family "5.8S ribosomal RNA". Lineage: Eukaryota; Fungi. The record is from RNAcentral.